UCUCCUGGAAAACGGGUGGUAAUGCCGGAUGUUCCAGUUGAUCGCAUGGUCUUCUGGGAAAGCUUUCGCGGUAUGGGAUGGGGUCGCGUCCUAUCAGCUUGACGGCGGGGUAACGGCCCACCGUGGCUUCGACGGGUAGCCGGCCUGAGAGGGCGACCGGCCACAUUGGGACUGAGAUACGGCCCAGACUCCUACGGGAGGCAGCAGUGGGGAAUAUUGCACAAUGGGCGCAAGCCUGAUGCAGCGACGCCGCGUGAGGGAUGGAGGCCUUCGGGUUGUAAACCUCUUUUAUCGGGGAGCAAGCGUGAGUGAGUUUACCCGUUGAAUAAGCACCGGCUAACUACGUGCCAGCAGCCGCGGUAAUACGUAGGGUGCAAGCGUUAUCCGGAAUUAUUGGGCGUAAAGGGCUCGUAGGCGGUUCGUCGCGUCCGGUGUGAAAGUCCAUCGCUUAACGGUGGAUCCGCGCCGGGUACGGGCGGGCUUGAGUGCGGUAGGGGAGACUGGAAUUCCCGGUGUAACGGUGGAAUGUGUAGAUAUCGGGAAGAACACC
This 550-nucleotide ribosomal RNA is filed under the name Bifidobacterium longum subsp. infantis. Its description in RNAcentral is "bacterial SSU rRNA". It matches the Rfam family "Bacterial small subunit ribosomal RNA", at positions 146 to 710 of the family's 1533-position model. The record is from RNAcentral. Lineage: Bacteria; Bacillati; Actinomycetota; Actinomycetes; Bifidobacteriales; Bifidobacteriaceae.